GUAUGAGCUAAUGUUUGGAGAGUAUAUGUUAGGUGUUCUGUUAAAAAAAACACAAAUAUUUCUAACACCGCUAUGUGUUCUUUUUAAUACAGCCUUGCUCGGCUGACUGUGGAGGAUUUUAAGAAAGCAGAAGACAGCAUCGCUCUCAUGAAGGUUCUUUACACAUCCACGCUCGCCGUGUCUUUAGAGAAGAGCUCCGCAUGCGGACAAAUACCACCCAUUCUCCAAAAGCUCCAGGCACAUUUUACCGUGAAAGAAGGCGACACAGUGUUUGCAUUCAACCUUAAAACACAUGUUUGGGCAAAGCACUACCAGAACAAUGACAGGAACUUUCUCCAAGCGGCCACUGCAUUGGAACCACGCUUUAAUCCUGAAGAUAGAUGACUGUGUUUGGGAUGAGAUCCAGAAAAAGCUGGUUGAAAAGCAGCAACCACCUCCCUGCAAACUGCCCAAACAGAUUUUUUGCUGAGGAAUAGGCACAGAACAGAGUAUCACAGCGGAGCUCUAUGUCCAUCAAGAAACGGGUGGACACUGAGGUGCAGAUGUACCAGGAAAUGCCACCAACCAUUACGUCUGGAGAACCCUGCUGCAUGCUGGUGGAACCAAAGAAGGACUUAUCCUUUGCUGUCAGAUCUCGCCUUCUCAUAUUUAUGCAUUCAAGCUUCAUCUACACCCAGUGAACGUGUGUUUUCCACUCCAAGAGACACUAUCUGUCCAGAACGCUCGUGCAUACUACCUCAGAAGGCAGAUAUGAUAAUUUUCCCCAACAAAAACUGUUUAGGAUUUUGUAUUGUACCUGGAUUGGGUUUUAUAAGUUGCCCUUGUUUGCUAUUCUGCACACACGUUAGU
Molecule: long non-coding RNA, 849 nt
Organism: Dunckerocampus dactyliophorus (ringed pipefish)
Lineage: Eukaryota; Metazoa; Chordata; Actinopteri; Syngnathiformes; Syngnathidae
Exons: 3
Source: RefSeq, a predicted model, not a curated record